Molecule: long non-coding RNA, 731 nt
Organism: Zalophus californianus (California sea lion)
Lineage: Eukaryota; Metazoa; Chordata; Mammalia; Carnivora; Otariidae
Exons: 3
Source: RefSeq, a predicted model, not a curated record
GAUGACCAGCCAGCCUCCCCAGCUCGAAGAGGGCACUUCAAUGACUGGAAGGAUAGAUGGAGGACACAAAGGCAGGUGCAUUAAGACAAACAACGAGCUCAGACUACUGCUGGUGUUUGGAUAACUAAGAAAUGGCACAACAAUAGAACCAUAACUCAGUGAAAAAGAAGGUUAGUGAGCAAGGCCAUGAGCCAAAAGGAACAUAUCUGGUACACUCUGAAGGCUUGGUACAAGAGACCUGACUUUUUUGGCCUGGAAAGAUCCUGCCACCAGGGCUGGAGAACAAUAUGGAAAAGGGCCUGGAAAUAAGAAGGAACACAAUGUCCUGGAGGAACUGAAAUCAUUUCAGUAUGACUGCGGCAUAGAGUACAAGGGAGGGAGUGCUAAGAGAAGACAUCAGGGGUACCAAGCAAGGCCAGGUCGGGAUGGACUUUCAAAACCAGUACAGGAGGCCUGCGGGUGAUGGGAAGCUGCUACAGUAUUUUAAGCCUGGCAAUAUCAUGAUCAUCUUGGAGUCUGGGGGCAAUCACUGUAAUAGAGCACACAAGCAUGGCUGUGAGCCCCACAAACUAAAGCACCCCACCCCCAGCAGCUACCAGAAACCCGUGCUAUUCGGAAAGGUCGGCUGCUCACCAGACCUCCACGCUGCAUAACUAUGAAGCAUCCUUCACAUGAUAGUCUUGUGGCCACAAUGUACCCUUCUGUCUCAAAAAUAAAUUUUUCAGUGGAAU